RNAcentral lists this ribosomal RNA (489 nucleotides) under uncultured eukaryote. Its description in RNAcentral is "SSU rRNA". It matches the Rfam family "Eukaryotic small subunit ribosomal RNA", at positions 616 to 1120 of the family's 1831-position model. The record is from RNAcentral.
CAGUUAAAAAGACUCGUAGUUGAAGUUCUGAUUGUUCGGGGCCGUCGCGCUUUAUAGCCGAGGAACCGACAGUCAUCCGCUUGCAAAUAUAUAGUUCGCCUUUAACCGGGUGGCUAUAUGAGUAAGCAAUUUACCUUGAGAAAAACAGAGUGUUCCAGGCAGGUUUGUCCGGAAUGCAUUAGCAUGGAAUAAUAGAAUAUGACUGAAGUCGAUUUAUUGGUUUAAGGCUUUAGUAAUGAUUAAUAGGAACAGUCGGGGGCAUUGGUACUUGACAGUCAGAGGUGAAAUUCUAGGAUUUGUCAAAGACUAACAAAAUGCGAAAGCAUUUGCCAAGGAUGUUUUCAUUAAUCAAGAACGAAAGUUAGGGGGAUCAAAGACGAUCAGAUACCGUCCUAGUCUUAACUAUAAACUAUACCGACUCGGAUUCAGAUGAAUCAAAAAGUUCAUUUGGGACCGUAGGAGAAAUCAAAGUUUUUUGGGUUCUGGGGG